UACGUAGGGUGCAAGCGUUGUCCGGAAUUAUUGGGCGUAAAGAGCUCGUAGGCGGUCUGUCACGUCGGCUGUGAAAUCCCGAGGCUCAACCUCGGGUCUGCAGUCGAUACGGGCAAACUAGAGUACUGCAGGGGAGACUGGAAUUCCUGGUGUAGCGGUGAAAUGCGCAGAUAUCAGGAGGAACACCGGUGGCGAAGGCGGGUCUCUGGGCCUUACCUGACACUGAGGAGCGAAAGCGUGGGGAGCGAACAGG
This 253-nucleotide ribosomal RNA is filed under the name uncultured bacterium. RNAcentral's name for it is "partial 16S ribosomal RNA". It matches the Rfam family "Bacterial small subunit ribosomal RNA", at positions 524 to 776 of the family's 1533-position model. The record is from RNAcentral.